Molecule: small nuclear RNA, 104 nt
Organism: Delphinapterus leucas (beluga whale)
Lineage: Eukaryota; Metazoa; Chordata; Mammalia; Artiodactyla; Monodontidae
Source: Ensembl
GUGUUCACUUCAGUAGUACCUAUACUAAAAUUGGAAUGAUACAGAGAUUAGCAUAACCCCGGUGCAAGGAUGACAAGCAAAUUUGUGAAGCAUUCCAUAUUUUU